Molecule: ribosomal RNA, 1329 nt
Filed under: Staphylococcus argenteus
Lineage: Bacteria; Bacillati; Bacillota; Bacilli; Caryophanales; Staphylococcaceae
Description: bacterial SSU rRNA
Rfam family: Bacterial small subunit ribosomal RNA
Source: RNAcentral
UUGCUGUCACUUAUAGAUGGAUCCGCGCUGCAUUAGCUAGUUGGUAAGGUAACGGCUUACCAAGGCAACGAUGCAUAGCCGACCUGAGAGGGUGAUCGGCCACACUGGAACUGAGACACGGUCCAGACUCCUACGGGAGGCAGCAGUAGGGAAUCUUCCGCAAUGGGCGAAAGCCUGACGGAGCAACGCCGCGUGAGUGAUGAAGGUCUUCGGAUCGUAAAACUCUGUUAUUAGGGAAGAACAUAUGUGUAAGUAACUGUGCACAUCUUGACGGUACCUAAUCAGAAAGCCACGGCUAACUACGUGCCAGCAGCCGCGGUAAUACGUAGGUGGCAAGCGUUAUCCGGAAUUAUUGGGCGUAAAGCGCGCGUAGGCGGUUUUUUAAGUCUGAUGUGAAAGCCCACGGCUCAACCGUGGAGGGUCAUUGGAAACUGGAAAACUUGAGUGCAGAAGAGGAAAGUGGAAUUCCAUGUGUAGCGGUGAAAUGCGCAGAGAUAUGGAGGAACACCAGUGGCGAAGGCGACUUUCUGGUCUGUAACUGACGCUGAUGUGCGAAAGCGUGGGGAUCAAACAGGAUUAGAUACCCUGGUAGUCCACGCCGUAAACGAUGAGUGCUAAGUGUUAGGGGGUUUCCGCCCCUUAGUGCUGCAGCUAACGCAUUAAGCACUCCGCCUGGGGAGUACGACCGCAAGGUUGAAACUCAAAGGAAUUGACGGGGACCCGCACAAGCGGUGGAGCAUGUGGUUUAAUUCGAAGCAACGCGAAGAACCUUACCAAAUCUUGACAUCCUUUGACAACUCUAGAGAUAGAGCCUUCCCCUUCGGGGGACAAAGUGACAGGUGGUGCAUGGUUGUCGUCAGCUCGUGUCGUGAGAUGUUGGGUUAAGUCCCGCAACGAGCGCAACCCUUAAGCUUAGUUGCCAUCAUUAAGUUGGGCACUCUAAGUUGACUGCCGGUGACAAACCGGAGGAAGGUGGGGAUGACGUCAAAUCAUCAUGCCCCUUAUGAUUUGGGCUACACACGUGCUACAAUGGACAAUACAAAGGGCAGCGAAACCGCGAGGUCAAGCAAAUCCCAUAAAGUUGUUCUCAGUUCGGAUUGUAGUCUGCAACUCGACUACAUGAAGCUGGAAUCGCUAGUAAUCGUAGAUCAGCAUGCUACGGUGAAUACGUUCCCGGGUCUUGUACACACCGCCCGUCACACCACGAGAGUUUGUAACACCCGAAGCCGGUGGAGUAACCUUUUAGGAGCUAGCCGUCGAAGGUGGGACAAAUGAUUGGGGUGAAGUCGUAACAAGGUAGCCGUAUCGGAAGGUGCGGCUGGAUCACCU